CAGCCGUAAACAAUGUGCGUUAGGUGUGUCGGUAACCACGCGUUACUGAUGCGCCGAAGAGAAAUCGUGAAACGCACCACCCGGGAAGUACGGUCGCAAGGCUGAAACUUAAAGGAAUUGGCGGGGGAGCACCACAACAGGUGGAGCCUGCGGUUUAAUUGGAUUCAACGCCGGACAUCUCACCGGAUAAGACAGCUGAAUGAUUGUCAAUCUGAAGGUUUUACAUGACUAGCUGAGAGGUGGUGCAUGGCGUCAGUGACU
This 261-nucleotide ribosomal RNA is filed under the name uncultured archaeon. Its description in RNAcentral is "partial 16S ribosomal RNA". It matches the Rfam family "Archaeal small subunit ribosomal RNA", at positions 748 to 1008 of the family's 1478-position model. The record is from RNAcentral.